Larimichthys crocea (large yellow croaker) is the source of this 802-nucleotide long non-coding RNA. RefSeq lists it as uncharacterized. The record is from RefSeq and is a predicted model, not a curated record. The transcript has 3 exons. Lineage: Eukaryota; Metazoa; Chordata; Actinopteri; Sciaenidae.
CUGAUAUAUGAUCUGGCCACGGCUUCAUAAAUAUACAGACAAUACUUGGUGGUGGGGAUUGUAGCAGUAAUAGAUUGCAGCGCUGAGUGUGGAGGUAGCAGCCAAUAGUCCAGACCUGAAUGAGUUGAUUCAACAAUCCUCCUUCUACCAAUCAAAGUCCACGUCUGUGUUUCUGAUGAUAUCACAGCUUUGAGGUCAGAGGUUAAACUCUUCCAUCCAGGCGGAGGCGGGCUGACCACACGACACAAACUUGAACAUGGAGUCUAUCAGAAUACCAGCAAAGUACUUCUCUCUGAAAGACAGACAAAUCACUGUUUUUUUUCCAUCUUUGCAUCGCUCCCAUAGCAACAAAAAAAGCCACAUGAUGCUUGCAUGAUGAGGCUGAGCUUCAAACAAACACAAGAGUUGUUACUGUGCAAUCACGACACAAACAUUUCUCUGUUUCUGUUUGACCUCUUUCUCUACCCUUUUCUCUACCCUUGCGACUGUUGCCAUAGUAACCCGCUUAACCAGGGCACAAUUGCUGACCAGCAGGAAGUGUGGAGCAUUUCUGGUUAAUGAGAGCUUCCGUGUGGGAUGGGGUGUGUUCACAGCAGGAGGGAAACCUCUGCGUCAUUCGGACAAAGGGGUUUUCCAUAUUUUUACGACAGUGGGAAUAUUGUUCCAGUGUUAUUUUACUGGUACCACCGGGGCACUUUUAUGUUCUGGGCUGAGCUAUGUUUAGUUUUUACGGCCUAUUGUGUGUGAUAUAAUAUUUUCACAAGGUUCAUAUCUGUGCUCAUUUAAAACUUUUAUCUGAUAA